CUCCUCUCAGUGCUCAAUAGCGAACAGCCCAGGCAUCAUUGCAGACUUGACACCGGCAAAAUCGGACGGUCAGCAUCUACGUUGUGCAAUGACAAUGUAUGUGCUUUGCAAAAAAAAAAAAAAAAAAAAAAAAUGAAGGUGUGCACCGGCCACAUGAUGACUCUCACUGCCGAGGAAGGACACACUUUUUCCGCAAGCAGACGGCCGGAGGAGACACGGGGGCGAGACAUAAACGCCCAUAAGUUGCUGAAAUUAACCGUCAUUAAUGGUUAAGAGGAAAAAACAAGAAUGAGUGCCUUCAACACAGAAGCGGAAGAAUGGGAGCCCCAGAGCACAACACGAUGAAGAAAAGACAGAAGUGAUGAAAGAGAGGUAAGACAAGUUUGCCCUGGGCUCACGCAUUAUCUUGGGUCGGCGUAUGUCUUCUGGCGCCCUUCUUACAGUUUGCCCCAUUUAGCUGGGUCUGGUGUUUGCAUGUACAGCGGGACCCCUACAUACAAUGUUAAUUGGUUCCAGGACCUUGUUUGUAAGUCGAAAUGGUCGUAUGUCGAGCAGAAUUUUCUCAAUAGAAUAUAUUAUAAUUCCAUUAAUUUGUUCCACUGCCCGAAAACGUACACUAAAUCCUUAAUAAAUACUGCUGGUACUAUUGCAAAUAGCAGUAAAACAGACCUAAACAAAUAAAUUAUAAAAAUAAGAAUAAUAAAAUAAAAUAGUAAUAGUACACAACACCUGUAAUAAUAUAACGAAUUGGAUUCUAAUGUGAUGGUUGUGUUUUGCGUGGUGUACCUGAACGCACCGCGUGGCUGACAUGACGAGAAAGGUGCGGCAGAGAUUUUACUUUCUCUUUUAACGUUUUGUUGUUGGCCUCAAAUGCGGUGGACAGUAGGCAAGUUGUGUUGCACAAGUUCUGAAAUAAAUGAUUAAAAACCUGAUGAAGCUGGCGAUUUCUUUGGCGAUGUUGCAAUCAUAAUAGUUGUCACCUUAACUUAUAAAGACUGGCGAAUGGAGGCCGGAGGAGGACCGUCGAAAUCGUAGGCAUUCUACGGCCGUAUUGUCGAGACAGUUCACGGACGCACAUAACACGCUCAUAUUUUUCUAUCAUUUCCAUAUUUAUUUCAAUGGUAAGAGUCACCUUUUUCCUUUGUUCACCACCUGCACUGACAUUCUUGAAACCCAUAUCGAUUUUUCCUCACAAGAAAAUUUGCUGUGUGUCCGUCUUGCGGGAAAACAAAGAAACUGCGGUGCUGUCAUAAAUCGUCAAAUUUCGAGCAUGUCGUCGGAUGUAGAAACAAAUGGCGAGUCAAAUUUUACGUCGGGUGUCAUAAAGAUCGUGUGUCGAAGCGAUUGUGUGUCGAGGUACCACUGUAUCUGUUUUGUGUACAUGUAUCCAUCUUGCUUUCUGAUGCACCUGCUUUCUCUUCUGUCACCGUUCGCAUUUACGUACCUACCUACUCCUGUUUCAGAGACUUCAGCCUAGGGCUAAAGGAAAAUAAACACUUCCUUAUUUGAAAAUAUAAAAUAGACUUCAAAAAGUGCUAGUAAUACCGCUUUUGAUAGUUCCCACUCUGGUUGGUUGUUGGUUUAGACCAGUGCUUCUCAAUUAUUUUCUGUUACGCCCCCCCAAGGAAGACGUAAAUGUUUCGCGCCCCCCCCCCAACUCUCUGCCGCCACUGUAAAUAGUAUCAUUCGUCUAUAUUACUAUUAUAAGUACGCCUCAGCCUAACAUUGUGUCCUUUUUUUUUCUAUUAAAGAAAAAAAGUAACAUAGAUCAACUUGUAAUAAAGUAUAACUUUUUUAACAUUGUGUUGCUUGUAACAGAAAAGACUUAACGCGCAUCAAUUUGCCUGAAGUUAAAAAAAAAAAAAAAAAAAAAGUCACAUCCAAACUGUAAAAAUACACUCAAGGUACAUUUUUGACCAUUUGAUACUGAAAAAUAAAAUGUAAUAAAAUCAGUAAAUAAUAACAAAUUCAAAUUGAUUAGAAACAUUUACUCUUCAGGACAACAUGCCAAAAAAUUUGACCGAAAAAAAACCAAAACUGAAUAGAAGGGGGGGGGGGGGGGUCUUUGGACAGAAGGAAAGUUUUUAUUUUCGCUGAUUCACCACAGUACUCACUGGUUUACUGAUAUAACACUGACAAAGCGGGACGAUUGGCAAUAUUCGGCACAUUUUCGCUGAAAGACAAUCAAGCGGCUUAUCAAUGAGAUUGAGGUCUAAUGUCUUUAAGUGGCGUCUUAACUGAUUUGGCUUCUCCGCUAUAAUCAUUUUUAGACUCAGUAAACAGUGGUCUUUCCUCAUUUCCCACUAUAUUAAAAGUCAAAGGCAAACGGCCCGAAAAAAGCGCAUUCUCGGCGGCCGAGGGAGAACCGUAGGUGAGGGCGGUGGUCGUGACGAUCCCAAGCCGAAAACGGCACUUCUUAGCCGGACACGUGAGAACCGAAGAAGACAGUGGGUCGCUGCGUGAGUCCAGCUCUGCAUGAGUCUCUUCCGUGUGCUCUUGCUUACUUCAAAAAUACUGCACGCACUUUGAAAAUGAGAGCGCCACUGCCACCCACGGAGUGGAUGUGCAAGUACACUUUAUUCUAGUACGGCAAAAAAAAAAAAAAAAAAAAAAAAAAGCAUGUUCCCCGAGGUCACUCGCGCCCCCCCUGACAUCGCUCUGCGCCCCCCUGGGGGGGCGCGCCCCACCAUUUGAGAAGUACUGGUUUAGACGCAUUACCUCUACUGCCCCCUGGAGUGGAGGAUUGUUAUUACUAUUUUUUUAACUCAAAACGUAUUCGCCGUCUGAUUGCGUAUACCGAACCACUCUUAAUAAAUAUGUAUAUGCAUAUCCCUUCCAGAGACAGUGGUCACUACAGUGGUACAGCUAGGUUAAUAUUUCUGAUCAUGCCUACACAGUUAUAAAAACACUAAAGAAUCCUAAUUUAACAUAGUUUUUGUAUGAAAUAUAUUUUCUUCUUAAAUGCAUGUAUAUAUGCAUAUGCUAUUCGUAUAUAUGGCUGAAUGGCAGACAUUGUAAUAUCGGCAAUAAUUAUAUCGUAGCCCAAAGAAUCAAUAUGGUAUCAUAUCGGCAUGAAAUUGAUGAUAUACACCCUGACAUAAUACUCUAACAAAACUGUGAAAAGAGCCACCGUUUGUCUUAACUGCUGCUCCCCAAGUGAGCACUCCCUGGCUGAGUAAUGCUCACCCUCUUUCUCACUCUCUCUUUGUGUGCAGCACUAAAUCAUUUUCUCCCAUGCAAGACGAACAUGGAGAAGGGGAUAGUUAAAGAGGCGAGGUGGUGAAUAGUGCCUAUUUUCAUGACAACACACCCUCUGGUCACCAGCUAUGAAGACUGCCUCGCCGUCCAAGAUUUUACAAUUUUGGGCACUUCAUUAAACACAGCCCUUAGAUUUAUGCAGUUACAGCUUCAUGGUCUCCUCACUUUGGCUACCCACACACACAAGAACCUUUUUUUUUGUUUUCAUAUUAAUUGUUCCUGUCGUCUGGACAGCAGAGCUGCCUGGUCAUGGCUCCAAGUUUUCACUUCGAACUUCCGAGGCCAAAGACAGUCUUUUCAAAAACAGGAAACAGCGCUGGAGGUCCAGCGACCGCUUGAUCGGUCUUAAAUUUUGUUUAUUUUUUUGGACAUCCUUACAUCUGAUUUGAACUAUGUCUUUUUUUCCGCUUACCUCUUUCUUUUAUUCUUCUUGAUGGGUGCACCAUGUAUAAACAAACUGCAACCAAUGUGGUCACAUUUAGUUUCAUAUAAGCUUAGGGCCAACCAAGUCUCUCUAAACCUGAACAAAAAGAAGUGCAUUGGCUUUCUUUUUGCAUGCGUAGGCAGAGCGCUCAACGGCACACUUUGUCACAUGGUGUCAUAUUUCAGAAGACAACUACAGGACGUGACAACCGAGUGAGUCACUCAGUCAAGUCCGAUUGAUUCAGUGCCGGACAACGGGACAGAGCGAGUCAUUGUUACUUUCACGCUUGUGCCAAAAGGACAAGCGGAAGAUGGGCAGCGGUUUAUUAAAGCCAGUGGCAGGAAAAAUGACUGCCCAUAAUCAGCAAUUAAGAACAUACGAGAUGGAGAUGUUGACUGUGAUGUUGCAUCUGCAUCCAGAUAUUAUUUCUUGCAACAAGGAAAAAUGUCGAUUAAUACAGUAAAAGGCAACCAAGGUUCGGACUGUUUGUACAAUUUCUAGUUUGAAAAGAUAUAUUUAACAACUUUAAGUACCGUACUUUAAAAAUCCAUUUUAAAUGUUGUUCACUUUUUCAUUAAUCUCAGGAAGUGAAGGAAUCAGCAGUUGUAAAUAUUGAGGUCUAGACUGCAAGAAACCCAGAAAUUGUGUGCAAAAAUCAUAUGCAUAACCUCCCUGACGAAAAUCCUGCUUGCUAUUGGAAAAAGGAAGUAUUUCAUCCCUCAUACUACAUGAUUUAAAGUAUAUGAGAGAAAUGCUACAUUGUUGGGCAAAGCACUGAAAGUAAUUAUUAUGCCGAUAUCUUUAAUACCAGUAUUUAUCCCUUUACAACAUUUUAUAUAUGUCAUUAUUUUUAUUUGAGCUUCCCAACCUUGACACACUUAAGGCAAAUCGUUUCAUGCAAAGUCCGUGAACCAUACUGAGUGCAAGUGAAAAAGGGCUGUAGAGUUUUGUGUCUAUGAAGCGUUAAAACAGUGGCCAUUUUAGCAUUCAUUUUUAUCAGUGACUGAAAGAAUGAAAAUAGUCAGAGGCAGGGGCCCCCCAAAGCUUUCCGUCAAGCCUCCUGAGAGGAGACAAAGGUUUGCAUUGACUGCUGCGUGUCGAUAAGACCUAUCAUUAGUCUGCCGGUGGAGGGAUUACCAACACACACUAAAAUGCUUCUGCACACGUAUACACACUCCACUUGCAUCCUUACAUUAGUCACUCUACCCCCCUUCCAAUCUUAUUUUACAUUCUCAAGCUUGAAUAUUUUUCUAUACUAAAGUAGAGACUUUAUUUGAAUCGAAGGGGCAUAAAUGAACCCCUUCUUUUCAAUCACAACACUAACUAUACACCCCGCUUUACAAUGGUGUCCACACACGGAAACAUGUUUGUGUGUGACAUGCAUGGCUGGUACAAUAGUCCUAAGGAGAUUUUCUCAUGACCUUUUUUUUGUUUUUCAUAAUAAAUAAAAAUAAGUAAAAAUAAUAAGAAUACACUCAAAGAAAAAGUAAGAAAAAUUGUUUUUUAUUGUCCACUAUGGCAAAGCUAAUUGUCACCAUCCGUUGACGACAAAAAUCAGUUUAUUCACAAUAUGUAUCACUCUUAAAUGCAGCAAACAUACGUAUUUCAGGUAAAAUUCCGUAGUUCCUAAGUAGGCAUGUGCAGUUUGAUAUUCUGACGGUAUGAUAAACUUAAGCCAAAAUAUCACGGUUUCAUGGUAUUUCAGUUACAGCUCUAAAAUGUGUUUCUUUGAGUUAUCUGGGUUAAAAAAAAAACUUUCUUCUAUUAAACAGGAUUUUUAUUAUUCAAAACAUAUUAUCAAAUUGGACCAUAAGAAUAAGGUUGAGUUAAAAUAAAUUUAAAAAAUAUAUAUAUAUAUAUAACAAAUAUUCUAAUUAAAAUACCGUAUUGGGCUGAACGUAAGACCGCCCUGAUUAUAAGACGACCCCGUCUUUUUCAAGACUCAAGUUUGAAAAAAGACUUUUUGAACACCAAAUUAAUUUUUAUACAGAAAAUAAUUACAGUACAUCCGGAACAAAUGAUUAUAACAAUAUAUUUGAGAGAAAAAGCAUGUUAUUUUGCCUCAUUCAAAUUUUAAUACCUGAAGAUUUAAAUAUGUAAACUAAAGUGCAAUCACAUUCGUAAAUGAAUGGCUUCUCGUUUUUGAAUUGUAAAUAAACCAAUCUAUUGUGAUAAAACAACAAAAUUGCAAUAACUGCAUUAACCAUCAAAGUAAAGUCUAACUGUAACUGUAGUCUUCAAACAAAUCUGAAUAAGGAAAAACAUUGCAAUAAAAUAAUGCAAACUGGUUAAACUAGUAGCUGAGAUCUGCCAUGACAGAACAUUGCUUCAAUGAUAUCUGGCGCCAUCUAGCGUCGUGAAUGGGGAGAGCAGCUGAGAUCUGUCAUACUAGAACAUCGCUUCAAUGAUAUCUGGCGUCAUCUAGCGUCGUGAAUGGGUAUAAUGUCUAGACUGCGAAUAUAAGACAACCCCCUUUUUUUUCAAUCUUAUUUCAAUGCAAAAAACACCACCUUAUAUUCGGGCCAAUACGGUAAAUGCAGUCCUUUGGGCAAGUGUAAACCCACAACCACAGCUGAACAUUAUUACCAUCUGAACAAAAAUAAUUUAUUUUUUUUCCAUAAAAAGCACAUGUGUAUGACUCUUAUCAUGUUUACAUUAUACACACACUCUCUCAACACAGACAGUUGCCAGAAAUAAAAAAAAACACCACGUUUUACCACCGCUAGACACACUAAACAUGCUGGGGUUAACUCUUGUAGCCGGUUGGAAAUGUUCAUGGAAGUGUUUACUAGGGCUGCAGCUAUCGAAUAUUUUAGUAAUUGAGUAAUCGACUGAAAAUUCUAUCGAUUAUUCGAGUAAUCGGAUAAAACAAAUAUAUUUUUAGGUGAAGAGCAAUUAUACAUAUACUGUACAUGAGAAAACAAGACAUUUCAUCUAAUCUUGAACCAUUUUCAGUCAAUCAAUGUCUUUAUUUUCGAUGUAUAUUGUUGAAAACAGCCAACAAUUGCAUCUCAGAUGUAACUAGAAUAAAAUUUUAAAAAAAAAAAGACUAAUUCACUGCUUUCACUCAAAAAACUUUUAGAUCUUAUUAAAAAAAAAAAAAAAAAUAUAUAUAUAUAUAUAUAUAUAUAUAUAUACAAGUGGUACCUCUACAUACGAAUUUAAUUCGUUCCAGGACCUUGUUUGUAAGUCGAAAUGGUCGUAUGUCGAGCAGGAUUUUCCCAUAGGAAUACAUUAUAAUUCCAUUAAUUCGUUCCAAAGCCUAAAAACAUACACUAAAUUCUUAAUAAAUACUGCUGGCACUGCUACAAAUGGCAAUUAAACAUAGAAAAACAAAUAAGUUAUAAAUAAAUAAGUCAGAAUAAUAUAAUAAUAAGAAGAAUAAUUAAUAAUUAUUCCUGUAAAUAAUGUAACGAAUUGGAUUCUAAUAUGGCGGACACUUUUUACUGUCCCUGAACGCACCGCGAAGCUGACGUCACGGUGAGAUAGGUCGGUGCGGUAGAGAUAAUACUUUCGUUUUCUUGAGAGCAGUCAACUGCUUAAGACAAUGGGCGUUUUGUGUUGGAUAAGUUCUUAAAUAAAUGAUAAAAACGUGACGAAGCUGGCGAUUUCCUUGGCAAUGUUACCACAAUAAUAAUUGUCACCUUAACUUAUAAAUAGUGGCGAACGGUGGUCGGAAGAGGACCAUGGAGCUGUAUUGUUGAGCCAGUUCAGGGACGCGCACACCAAGCUCAUAUUUUUCUAUAACUUGCAUCUUCAUUUCAAAGGUAAGCAUCACUUUUUUCCUUGUUUCUCCAACUGUAUCAACUUUUUUUGAAAACUGUGUUGAUUUCUCACACAAGAAAAUCCACCGUGCAUUCGUUUGCAGUGCUGUCAUGUCGUCGUAUUUCGAGCAACUCGUCGGAUGUAGAAACAAAUGGCGGCUCAAAUUUUACGUCGGAUGUCGAAAAGAUCGUGUGUCGAAGUGAUCGUAUGUAGAGGUACCACUGUAUAUACUAUAUCUUACCUAAAAAGGCCGUUACGCUUGAUAACAAACAUCACUUAAAAGUUAGGAUUUUUUUCCCCACGUGUUUCAACUGAAUUUCUCUUUGUGUCAAGCCAUUUUUAAGUUCUAGUUAAGUUUUAAGUUAGUCUAAACUGUAAGUCCUGAUAGGAUUUUGAGUUUUUGCAGUGUUCAAAAUAAAUGUAUGAUACAGGCUGUAUUGGAGCACAUUAGGGACCAGUGCUACUUGGUGUUUUAUCCAGCAAUGACUACUGAGCUAAAAUUGAUAGUUGGCAUUAUUGAGUUUUUAUUUUACACCCUGAUCACUCCACAAUGCUAUGUUAUGUUAAAGCCUGUAUGUAAGACACAUUAGCCACGCAUCGACAGUGGUCAUAAUUAAUUGAAACCUAGCCCUCCGCAGGGCUAACGUUACGUGAGCUAGUAGCGACAGUAACGUUAAUCUUAUUUAUUAGCACUUAGCACUCUUUAUUAGCGCUUAGCGAUGUACUGCUUUAAGAUGGCGGCUGUUUACAAACGCUGCCCAGACGCAGCCGAGUUUGUCAAUUUGCAUCUAGUUCAACAUACAUGUGAUCUCUAUGAGACGCACCAGACGCUACCUGUUACCAAUGUAGCAUUGUGCGGGCUAGUAUUUAGCAACGUCGGCGUCGUUUGUGGCGGCUGUCGGCUGCGGUAAGUUUUUUUUUUUCCCUUCUUCCUCUCCGCACGUGACAGCGCGUUGUCCCGCAUUAAAAGUAGUCCUAGCAAAACGUGAUGCUUACAGCUGUCAAAAUAAACGAUUACUCGAGGUGAAUAAAAUUACUCGGAUCAGUUUUUAAACUUGAGUUACUCGAGUUGCUCGAGUACUCGUUUCAGCUCUAGUGUUUACCAACCUUUAAUUUUGUAUAAAUGCAAAAUCACAUUGGAGGUAUUGCCUCUUUGGCAGCCGCCCUCCGCAAACAUGUUUUACAUGUCGGGUGGCCCUCCUCCUCUAAGCCACAACCGUCUGUAACUUUUCUGAUACUGAAGUAUUCCUAUACCAGCGAUUUCGUUUUCUUCGAUGGGGGAAAAAGUUCAGGAGUUUCAUCUCCUCCAGCCAUGGUGAAGCAUUACUGACCACUGACACUGAGCAACAACCAGUGGGGGAGGGUUGAGCCUUGCAGCUGCAAGCGAGGGAUUUGUCUAAGCUUGAGAACGAUAAACCGAUACGACCGGUUAUCCGGUUUUACAGGUGAGAGAUACAGAUGUAUCGAUAGUAAAGUUAUCAUUUGACAGUAAUUAGCCAUUAAAUAUUCAAUGAACCGAUAGCAGAGAUAGAAUUCGGCUAUCGCGAGCACAAGAAUCGGCUUCUAAUGCCUAGCUCAAUGCAUUGCUUAAUAUUUUACUUCACAUGCUGCGCUUGUGUCAUUCACCACACAGCGCACUUGGAUCGAGACCGCACGCAUGAUAUAAUAUGGACAAGCACUACUCACAGUCGUGGUUGCCUCAACUUCCCAUGCAUUUCAGCAGAACCGCUACUAGUCGCCGUCCUUACCCGAUCGUCACGGGCAUGUCAUAACAACGCGAGAGCUAACGAAACCACUGUAACGCACGCUCCGUAGCGUUUUCUUCACAGCCCAAAACGAAACUAGUAGUGGCAACGAAGCAACAUGCUAAAACAAUGGACAGUGUGAUCACCGAUGCCAGCGACGUGCAGCGAUUGAUUUUCAACGCACCUAGGAAAACAAAAGUCUGACUUUGAAGUGAUGAAGGCAGCCAGAUCUGUUCGCAUGGGACAGACCUUGUGUGAAGUUUGGAGCGGUACAGAGAUCGUGAGUUUUUAACCCUGAAAAAUAACCCACAACAAUGGUGGAAAGGGCGGCAUAUUGUUUCCACGAAACGCAGUCUACUUAAACAUAAAAAUUUGGAUUAGUUGAUCUUCCUCAAGAAAAAUCUGCCCUUCAAAAAAGAUAUGGACAGUGAUGAGGAAUAAAAAAUGAGGAAGCACAGGCAUAAGUGAAUGACUUUGCUGUGUAUUAGGUUAAAGUAAUGAUUAUUGACCUGUCUAAAAUGCCAUGUUUUUGUUUUGUUAUACCAGUCGUAAAGCAUAAUUUAUUAUUUAUUUAUGAUAACACUAGCAGGUUUUUUUUUUUUUUUUCUAGAGCUGCUGCAUAUAAUUAAUAUUUUUUGUUUGUAAGAUGUUAACAUUGAAAGUUUGCACUUAAAUUACUUACCUCUUGUGUUAAAAACACCAGGAAAUACAGUAAUUGAAUUACUGCACUUUAUUGUUGUCUGUCACUGGAAUUUUAUUUUAUUAUCAAUCCCAUCCAACAAAAUGACAGUCAUAUAGUCAGCCUUAUUUUUUUUUUUUUCAUAAAAAAAAAUAAAUAAAACAUGACAUUGGUAUGAAAUGUUGUUGUUUAAUUUUGCUAUAUUAGAAAUGUGGUCUUUUUAUAUGUUUAAAAUACUGUACAAACACACACAACAAAUAUUUACUAUCGUAUCGUUUUCACUCUAUCGAACCGUAUCGUUCUUACACUGUAUCGAAUCGUAUCGAAUCGCUCGGCCUUAAAAAUGUAUCAUUUUUAAUCGAAUUGUAACCUGUGUAUCUAGAUAUCUAUCGAAUCAGCUUCAUGCCAGAGAUUCCCAACCCUAGAUUUCUCCCUUCAUUUUUAGGACAGAAAAAAUAGCUAAUACCUUAGGGCCGGUAUAAUGGAAAAACUUUGCAGCUUUGAAACCUUGACGUUUUCAUACCACGGUAUACCUUGAAAACGGUAAUCGGCACAUGUCUAUUCCUAAGUAGAUGAUGAACCAUUGCUCGUAUUGUCACUGUCUCUCAUUAUCACAGCCCCCAGAGAAUAUAUGAGUUUACUUACCUCCGCUUGUUCGGAGGGUGCAACCAAACGCAUGUCAUUAUCCUCCCUAUUUUCCGCAAAUAGCUUUAAAUAGCAUUAGGGCCAAAAUAUAACAGCACAAUUAAGCCAUUGAUCUGUGGUGGAUAGUACAUUGGAAACAUUAUGAAGUCAGGAAUGGACAGAGGUAAUGAACAUUUUUUGUAGGUAACCUUUUCAAUCGUGAGGCAGAUGCUGAGAGCUUGUGUUGCACUUCUGAUUCGUAGUUGCUUCUUAAUGUCCUCAUUUUUAGGUCAUGGACUGAAAUUGCUUUUCAUUUUAAAAACAACAAUCCCUGAGACAAGGCACAGGAUCAAAGGUUGGAGCUAACAUUAACACCAAGUCUUCGUGUCUUCAUUGCUUCAUUCAUACUGAUCAGUGCUUGUGAGGCAUAAUUGUAAAUAUAGGCCCAACAUCAUGUUGUCUUAAAUUUUACAUAGAGUUGAUCAAUGAUGGUGAAAUGCCACCACAGCGUGUUGAUUAGGGGUCAUAUUUGCUUUGUGUAAUUUAGUGGGUUUCAUGUUUUUUAAUAAACUCACAGCUGUGUAUUUUGUGCAGAUGCAUUAACGGACAUUUCUAGGCCAGUCAAUGCAUGUUAAUGGGCUUAGACGACAGUAUGCAUGUACAUUUAGUUAAAGUGCAAAAGUAUUCCAAUCCCAUCUGAAUUUUAACCGAUAAUGUUUAUACUUAAAUUUAGAUGCCUGCAAAAAAUAAGCAGUUUGUUGUCUUGACAGUCUCAUCAUUGGUAUGUGAUUAAAUUAUGGAUUGAUUGACUUAAACACAAACGCCAGUUGUAAAUAUUAUGGCAUUCUGUUGUACUUCGCUGUACAGAUUGUGUGAAGUUACACCUAGAUUUGUAGUGUAGCAAUUUUGACUUGUUUGUGAUUGCGACCACCCCAAUGCUUCUAAUAUACAGAGUUUGUCUGUGCAACCUCUGUAAAAAAAAAAAAAAAAAAAAAAAAAACCUCUCUCCAAAAGGCUUUGGCUCAGUGGCUCAGUCUGUUUUGAGUAGUGAGACACACCCAAAAGGAUGGAUAUGAAUAAUACUUGUGAUGUUUUAUAAGUUUGGCGACUUGGUUGUUCCGGGAGAUCUAGCGCCAAAUGCAUGUGUGAGUUACAUUAAAAACAGACCUAAUAUGGUAAAAGCACAGGUACGUUCUAAUAAGGUACCAACGUCAAUACAUUAAUAGUCCAAUCAAAUAUAAUAAUGUAAAUCAUUUCAAGAAGAUCUACAUCUCAACCAUAAUGGGUUAUAAAAUUGAUCAAAUACAUUAAGAGUUUGAUAUUUCUUUUGUAAAUAAUAACAUAAAAUAAAAAGAACUUGGACCUCACAACCAAAGAAGAUAACAACUAACAGCAAAACAAUCAAUUUCCUUCUGAAUUGUAUGUCAGUUGUUAAAUUAUAUUUCUUUAUUUCAACGCCAAAAAGUGGUUACAUUCCACAGAAAGCAUCCAUUCACCAAAACCUCAACAUAACUCUUAAUAAGCUGGUGAUAGUUGGACUCGUACCUCUCAUAAAGUUUGUUUUACUUAGCUCAUUCCCGCCCUGGGUAACUCGUAAGCCCUGUGAUUAAAAAGUGUAUUGAAGAUUUCAAGCAGGGUUAUUACCUGCCUGACCUCGCUGUCAUAGAAGAGAAAAAUGGCUUUGGGAUAAACAAAAAUUAUCAUUCAGCAUCCUGUGAAUUUGUUGUGCAACUUGAGAGCUGACAAAGCAGCUCAAAUGCAAAGCAGGUGACCACUAAAGGAUGAUCAAAACAGAAACAAAUUUUGAUUCAAACACGAUUACUCGUACUAUGUUAAAAUAGAUUCCAACCAGUGGAGCCCAAAUCAUGAGGUUAAUACUGUUCAUCAGCAUUUUUGUGAUUAACACAAUGUGUGCUAUGAAACAUUCAAACAUUUGUUCAUUUGUAACACAGCUCAAUUGGCUGGCAACACAUUUGAUUUUCACGAAAUUGAAACAUGCUGCUAAUCCCAUAAUAUGUGCCUUGUGUUUAUACCAGACAAUUGAGGAAUGUUAAAGAAAGAACAUUUUCUUGCAACACGGAAAUUGUAGACUGCAUGUACCGUAAUUUUCACACUAUAAGGCGCACCUGACUGUAAGCCGCCACCCACCAAAUUUGUCACGAAAACGGCAUUUGUUCAUAGAUAAGCUGCACCGGUCUAUAAGCCGCAGCUCUCCACACUGUAUUAUGGGAUAUCUAUACCAAAAGACAUUAACCAGAAAGACAUUAUUUGACAGUGGCGUCAUACGACUGUCAAAUGAACCACUAUGAAGUUUUGAACCAAUUGGCUGCAAAGCUUCAUUGCUUCAAAAAGCUUCAUUUGGCCAUCACUGCGCCCUUUCGGGGAGACAAUCAACCCCUGUGCCACCUGUUGUCAACACUGAUAUCGUCCGACAUGCCUCCUAGUAUGCAUUGCAGCGCUACAGAUGUAGUUAACAAUCAAAAUUCAUAAUUCUGUGCAAAUUUCUUCAGUUACUGUUCCGGUUGUUUCAUUAAUUGCUAAUUAUGAUAUUUGGUAUCACUUUAUUUGACAGUGGUGUCACAAGACUGUCAUUGUACAAUCAUAAUUACGAUGUGACACUGUCAUGAGCAUUAAUGAAUGCUUACAACAAAUGUCAUUUAGUGUUAUCCGGCAAAUUAUCUAUUUUUUAAAUGGAUGUAAAAGAUCCGAGCUGGACAUAAGUGGAGUGAGUGAGGUAAUUUGCCAGAUGACACUUAAUGACAUCAGUUAUAGGUGUUCAGUAAUGCCUAAGAUAGUGUCAUGUCAUAAUUAUGACGAUCUUAUGACAGUCUUAUGUCGCUGCUGUCAAUAAAGCGUUACCUAUUGACCCAAUUAAAUCAAUAAAUAAGCCGCACUGGACUAUAAGAUGCAGGAUUCAAAGUGAAGGAAAAAAGUAGCAGCUUAUAGUCUGAAAAUUACGGCAUAUUGCAGGUGGCACUGUGGAUGAGGCGUGAGCAUGUCAGUAUCAAAGCUCUGAGCUCAAGGGAUCAAUCCCGGUCUACGGCCUUCCUGUGUGGAGUUUGCAUGCUCUCCCCUUGUCUGCGUCGGUUUUCUUCAUGUAGUCCGACUCCUUCCAAUAUCCCAAACCAUGCAUGGAAGGCAAAGAUUGUGAAUGUGAAGUACUGUUUGUCAAUAUGUGUCCAUCCUUGGCUGGCAACCAGUGCAUGGUGUACCCUGCCUACUGCCCAUACCCAACUGGGCCCCAGCAACCCCGUGACCUUCGUGAGGCUGAGCGGUACAGAAGAUGAAUGAAUGAAAGUAUAUUGCAAUUGCAAUUGUAGGGGAACUUCAAAACAAACUGGAAAUAGAGGUGUCAGGAACAUCCCACCAGCUAGACUAUUUUUAUUGUGAUGCCCAAGGGCUGUUCAACAAAACAAACAAGAUCUAAUCAUGUCAGAUUAAAUGAAACUGCUCUGUCUUGGUUGGCAUUGACUUAGUUAGUAAAAUAAUCGAAAGGACCAAUACAAAUGCACACAUUUGAAUGUGAUCCAAUACACACUCACAAAAACGUGGAAAGUUGUGAAUUCAAUGUAUGAGGUCAGGUACCUGCAUACACAAAGAAUGGUUCUACAAAACAGCAGCAAAAUUAUCUUGAUGGAACAACACUUGAUUUUAAGUAUUCAUGACACUACUUUCGUCGUCUUUAAUACUGGACGACCAAGACAAAAGACAAUGGCUAUGUUUAACGUGUACAGUAUAUUUUAUAACUUUCUUCAGCACCUGCUUGCAUUCGUUGAACAUGACCCAAUGAAGUAAUGGCACAUUGGCUACUAGGUGCUAGUAGAAUUUAUAGUAGAUGAACCGCUAAUAUUCAGCUUUCCAGCUUCCAACUUUAAAAAUCUAAAAAUGAUUUCAUUUGUAGGAAUCACAAAAUAUUUCUCCUGUGGCAAGCUUCCUGUGCAAACCCUUCUCAUUUUAACAUCAAAGCUAAAUUUAAACAAUUGAAGCAAUUUUUCAUCCAACCAAGGUCAUCUAUUGUUCUCUCUCUGUGAGGAAAUUUCAAGAAAUAUAUUUUACUGACAAGCUUCUUUGUAGCAAGCCACCUUUCAACCAUUGAGACAGAUUUCUGUUUUCUGUAGUAACUUCAUUUAUAGAUUGUUGACUUAAUUUCUUUGAAUUACCAAGUUAAUUUAUUGCAGUGUUUGUGUCCCACACAGGUUUCAAAAGUCCAUUGUGUAGACUUGCUUUAAAUAACAAAAGGUUUAGCCCCUGUAAAGAAAAGAGCAUUACUUUAAGAUUAGAAAGAGAGUCUUGCAAUUAGCCCUAGCAUCUGCAUGCAAAUUUGUAUUUUAAGAUCAGUGCCUGAUGUGUAAGCACACUUGAGGAUAUUUUUAUAAAGAAGCCAGUGCAGACAACACAUGAAAUCAUGAAUUUUGUUAAAUGUUUGCCAAGAACUAGAUGCUUCUUACAGCAAAGGAUAUGGUGGGAAAAAUGUCUCUGAAGAAACUCUCGCAAUUACUGUGUUCAAAGUAGCUUAAAAUACAUUUUUAAAUAUUAUAUUCAACUGGAAUCUGAUUGCGCUGAGCAGCCACAAAUGAGCCCAGAACUAACUUAGAAUUGGAGACAAGUUGGAUCUUUUCAGUGGACACCCCCUUAAUUAUGGUUAGGUUGUUUCAAGCUUGCCGUCUAUUCUCUCUUUUCUGUUUUGUUUGAAAACAUCUCAACACUUUUUGCAGUCGGUGACAGGCUGUAUAUAAGAUGCAGAACAAAGCAGCCAACAGCAUAAUUUUAGAUAUUUUGGCCAAGAGUGCUGAACUCACAGAAACUUAAAUAAUGCACGAUUUAAAAAAAACAACAACAAAAAAACAGAUGAAAUGUACAAAUGUACACCCAAGUGAGCUCUUCAUUUUUUUUCUCAAGACCACCCACAAUGUUUAUAGGUUGUGAGUGGGCUCGUUGUUCGUAUAAAAAAACAGUGCUUGACUCACAAAGAAAAGAUGAAGGGCAAAACCGAAGAGCUAUUCCAUCUAAUUAUGUUACUAAACAUCCAAUAAUUCUUGAUACUCAUUAACAUUAGAAAAUUGUUAUGAAAUGGUAUGAAAAGAAAGACUCAAGUUUGUUAUGUAUGUCCUGUAUCACUGCUUGUAAGUGCGGAGUCAGUGACAUUUUAAUUGUGUUAAAUAUCAACACUCAAAAUGUUCUUUUUUUUUUUCAUUUUCUUCU
Molecule: long non-coding RNA, 15697 nt
Organism: Corythoichthys intestinalis (scribbled pipefish)
Lineage: Eukaryota; Metazoa; Chordata; Actinopteri; Syngnathiformes; Syngnathidae
Exons: 3
Source: RefSeq, a predicted model, not a curated record